Molecule: ribosomal RNA, 511 nt
Filed under: uncultured bacterium
Lineage: Bacteria
Description: bacterial SSU rRNA
Rfam family: Bacterial small subunit ribosomal RNA
Source: RNAcentral
GACGAACGCUGGCGGCGUGCCUAAUACAUGCAAGUCGAGCGGAACUUAUCCUUCGGGGUAAGUUUAGCGGCGGACGGGUGAGUAACACGUAGGCAACCUGCCUGUAAGACUGGGAUAACUACCGGAAACGGUAGCUAAUACCGGAUAUGCAAGUGGAUCGCAUGAUUCGCUUGGGAAAGACGGAGCAAUCUGUCACUUACGGAUGGGCCUGCGGCGCAUUAGCUAGUUGGUGAGGUAACGGCUCACCAAGGCGACGAUGCGUAGCCGACCUGAGAGGGUGAACGGCCACACUGGGACUGAGACACGGCCCAGACUCCUACGGGAGGCAGCAGUAGGGAAUCUUCCGCAAUGGACGAAAGUCUGACGGAGCAACGCCGCGUGAGUGAUGAAGGUUUUCGGAUCGUAAAGCUCUGUUGCCAGGGAAGAACGCUCAUGAGAGUAACUGUUCAUGAGGUGACGGUACCUGAGAAGAAAGCCCCGGCUAACUACGUGCCAGCCGCCGCAGUAAAAC